GUCCACAACAACCAGUGUAGUGUUGCUAGCAAGAGCAGGGAAGUAAUUGUACCUUUGUACUCAACACUGGUGAGGCCACACCUUGAGUACUGUGUUCAGUUUUUGACCCCUCACUGCAAGAAAGGCAUCGAGGCCCUGGAGUGUGUGCAGAGAAGGGCAACUAAGCCGCAACAAGGCCAUCACAGCAUCUAUGAAAGAGUGGAUCACCUCAAACAGUGCAGAUUUUUCAGAAGCAUGGCAUGCAGUCUGGUGCUCAUAACUGGUGAAAAUACAUAGCUAAUGAUGGGCAGAAAAUACAAUAUGCUGAGUUGCUGCUGCUGGAGAAGUGGAAAAAAAUCACCUAUGUGGAAAAAGCUAUCUAGCAUGGGUACAGUUUGGAAGUGCCAUAAGAGGAACGUGUGUUGGCAAAAAAUGAUUCUGCCUGCUAUGGACCAUAUGUGCAUUUAAUUGAGUUUGCAAGUUUCCAGGCAGAAUGCCAAAUGGACAGUCUACCAUCUGAUAAGAGUGGUAAAGUUUUCCCCUUUUGUUCUCUCACAAGCUUUAGGUUCAUACAGAAUCUGAGAAGUCAAAAAAUCUGUACUUUCCCGGGACUGAUACUGGAAUGUGUAAGUCAGCUAAUAAAUAUGUUAGAAAAGACCAGUAUAUCAGAUUUACUUAGAAGCUAUGACUUUAAUUGUAAUACUGAAAAUUAAAUAAAAAAUAUAAAUGUGCCACUCCAGCAGAAUUAUCUGAGUCACAAUUAUCUCUUUGGCUUCCUCUUUUUCUCUAUGAACAGGGAGAUAAAUGAAGUGACUUUCAUGUAUAAGCUACAGGAGCUAGAGUAGGCUCAAAUAAAAAUAAUUAGGUGGGAGAUUUCGCAAAACCAAAGCAGGGUUUGAGGCUGUGUUUGAUCAGGUGCUGCCAGCUAGUUUCCAAAUCCUAAUGUGGCCUGCAACCCCAUGUUCAAGCCAUUAUUAUAUGUUUGCAUUGCUAAACAAAGAAGGUCAGGAUCCAGUUAAAGAGACAGAUGCCUGUUUGCCUCUGUUGCACAGUUAUUAGCUUGCUUCUCAGUCCUGUUUUGGGGUUUCCAGCUUCUUCCUGGGCUUGGGCUUCCUUGGGUUCAUCUGCUGCAGAGCAAUGGGAGACAACGUGUACACAGCACAGUCAUGAGCCUGUCAGUGUCAUUUGGUCAUGAGGUAUCUUAAUGUAUAGACAUAAAUUACAUGAUCAAACAAAGUAAGACCCUUGACAGAAUUUAUCAUACACCACCCUACAUGUGAAUUUUCCUUGUGGCAUUUCUCCUUCUGGUCAGAAGAGAUCUGUUGAGCCUCAUGGUGAGAACUUGAUGAAACAGCCUAAUGGUUCUCAGUCUUGUUCUGCAGUAUUAAUGACUAAAGGAAUAAAAUUGCCAUAUAGGUGUGAUUUUCACCAUUUUGUUGUCUUGCUACCUUCUCUCUGCUACAGUGUUUUUCAUGGGAGAAAAACACACAUUCAAGGACCAAGCUUGGUUCAUGAGAGUCCUUAUUAUUCAUAAUAAAGAAAAUAUAAGGACUGAUUUUUUUUAUUUUUUUUUUUUUUUUUUUGUGCAGUGAUGGUCAGAUUCUCAAGGUUUGGUUGCCAGUUUAAAGAUUAUUUCCAGGAGCACGUUACAUCUACACUAGAGAACAACAGAUGAAAAAGACCAUAGGUUGAAGAUAACCACACAACUGAACCUAUCCACGACUCUGAGUUUAUUUAAGUUACAUGUCCUUGUUAAUCUGUACUGUUUUAGCUUGAUGUUGUCACUCAGCAUAAGCACAACAAAGGAAUUAUGAAGCUGAGAAGGGAAAUUGCUCCUUGACAGAUUUCAUAACUUGCACGGUGUUCUGUGGUCUGAAAACAGUGAGAAGCAGGGUUCAAAGCACCCUUGGCAUCUGCUUUUUAGAAACACAGUCAACUGCAAUAAACACUCUUGCUACUUGUAGCUACAUGCAUGCAUUCAGGAAAAGAAAAGCUCUAAAAUAGAAGAACAUUAGCCCCCUUGGCUUUAGAUUCUUUUUCCUAAAGCACAAGAACUGUAACAUAAAAACAGUAACAGAACUCUCUAGUGAGACUGAGUAAAAUAAACAUCAAUAGAAAAAAGAAAAAUGCAAUGCCAUUCUGAGAUUAAAUAUUAGCACACGUACAUUUCUUUCAACAUACACUUCUCACUGGAUAUUUGUUAGCCUGUGGCAGCUGUAUGUGGAAGCACAAAUACAGCCAUGCCUUCUCACUUCUUUACACUGUCUACAGAAGUGGGAAUACACAACAGUUUUUUGUUUUGUUUUGUUUUGUUUUGUUUUGUUUUUCCACAGAAAUUUCCAUUGCUUUUGGUUUCUAUAGCACUGUCAAUUUAUUUCAAAACACAUGAAACUAAAUAGCCAUAGUAAAAUCUCAUUUUCACAUAAGUCAUAUUCAUAUAAAUUUCUGCUAUUUAAGAAGAAAAAUGUACCCGGUUCUCUUGUAAGUGGUAUGACUAGGAUAUCCUGCAGUCCAAGUUAGACUGUGGUCAGUCUUUGACAUACAUAGACUCUCAACAGUUCUUCCUAUUAAUUGAUACAGUAACUGAGAAACAGUAAUGAAUAUUCCAAUAAGUAGCUGAGAAAGAGAAAAGACAAAAAAUAAACACGACACACUUUCUAUCAUAUGAUCCAUAAAAAUGACAGAGAAUGGUUUGCUUAGUCAUCUGGUCUCUGUCAAAAUGCUUAUUACUGCAAAAGAAUUUAAAGAACCACACAACUGUGCCUUCUGCAUCAAAAAGAGGACAAAGCAUUUCAUGUGGUAGGUUUAUUUAAAAAUCAGAGAAAUAGAUUAGUCUGCCACAAAUCCCUUUAAGAAUAACCAUUAGGAAACAGAGGAAAAAAACAAAAGAAUUUGAACAAAAGUACACCUCUAUUAUUUUGCUUGUGGAUUUCAUUGGGUGUAGGUAUUUCUCAGAGAUUGCCGAUCAAUUAUAGUAGUAGUUAUCAGUGUAUCAUAAAAUCACAGUCAUACAAUCAUUUGUGCUGGAAGGUGUAGGUGUAGUGAAAAUGCUCAGUCAUGGCUUGAAAGAGUGACUGAGCACCUGGAGGAAGGCAGGGCCAACCCAGGGCAGUUCAGAUACAUGCAGGGCCCCUGAGUGACCGGAAUGGGUGGAGCCAGGAUCCACCUCUUCCCAGAUCUCAUUUAAGGGUUGGCAUUGAAGGUAAGGCUUUUGGGGAUUGCUAUAUAUCUGAGGCCUUCUGAAGGUAAGCAGUGUCUUUCCCUUAUUUUUUGUGCUCAUUGUUGUGUUUGAGUGAAUCCUAACUUGCUGUGGCCUGGAAUCUUGGUGCUCUCUGUCACUGUUGUGCUUACCAUUGUGUUACAGAAGGGACCCUUUAAAGGUCAUCUAGUCCAACUCCCCUGCAGUGAACAGGACCAUCUACAGCUAGAUCAGGUUCCUCAGGGUCCCAUCCAGCCUUUCCUUGAAUGCCUCUGGGGUCAGGGCUUCCACCACCUCUUUGGUCAACCUGUUCUAGUGCUUCAGUAUCCUUAUCACAAAAAACUUCCCUGUUAUAUUCUCUCUAGUUUGCAACCAUUUCCCCUUGUCCUAUCACAACAGAUUCUGCUAAAGAGUCUGCCCCCUUCUUUCUUAUAGUCGUCUUCUAGAUGCUGAAAGGCCCCUGUCACAUAUCCCCAGAGCCAUCUCUGUAAUAGACUAAACAGCUCUAACUCUCUCAGCCUGUUCUUGUUCCAUCCCUUGGAUCAUUUUGUGAUCCCGUCUCUUCUUCCACUGCUGGUCCAUUUUCUUCUUGUUCUCCAGAUUGACCAGUUAGUCUCACUCAGCCGUGCAAGACUUUUGCCUUCCUUUCCUGACUUCCUACACCUGGAGAUGGAGGGCUCUUGUGCCCUAAGAAAAGCUUCCUUAAAGAUCUUCCAGCUCUGUUCCUCUCCCUUUGUCCUUGAGGACAGAUUCCCAGAGGAUUUUGUUAAAUAACUUCCUGAAGAGCAUUCCGAGAUUGAGCAUCCUGGUUUUAAUUUUUCUCUCACAAAUCUCUCAAGAGUGUGAACUCCAUGAGUGCAUAGUCACCGCAGCCUGCAGGCAUCUUCCAAUCCUGAUGUCACCAGUCAGUUCACUUGGAUUGGUGAGUAACAGGUCCAGUAUUGUAUCCCCCUGGGGGAGCUGUCUAUCACUAGGCUCUAGAAGUUGUUCUUGAUGCAUUCCAGGAGCCUCCUGUGUUACCUACCACUAGCUAUAUGGCUUUUCCAGCAGAUGUCAGGGUGGUGGAAGUCCCCCAGCAGGAUGAGAGCUAGUGUUACUUCCUGUAGCUGGAGGAAGAAGGCUUUCAUCAACCGGCUCCACUUUAUCAGGUAACCUGUAGUAGAUCCCAACCACAUGGCUCUCUUCGUUGCUUCCGUCUCUAACUCUCACCCAUAAGCUUUUGACUUACUUGUGGCCAUUCUUCAAGAACAGCUCUUUACGCUAUUUUCUUCUUGAUGUAGAGAGUCACCAUAUAAGACUAUGUGUAAUUUGUUUCAUUAUGAAUUGAAUAAGUUUUAUUUACACACUUCAAAACUGUAACCACAGAUGAGGAAAAAAAAAACACUAUUUUAAAUUCCUUAGUGAAGUUGAACGGACUUUUUUCUGUUCAGCUCAGAAAUGUUAAGUUAAUGGGAUAUUACAUUGCUAUAAGAAAUAUGUAUUGGAUUUCAUUUUAGCAGCACUUAUGUUUAAGGAAAUCAUUGGUUAUGUUGUUCCUUAGUUAAUUUCAAACACAUGCUGUGAAUAGCUAAAUAUCAAGGAUUUGAAGUUUAUUUUAAUAAUAAUUUUUCAUUGGAGUCACUUCAUUGCUAUCAGAAUCUAUUUUCCUGGCUUAAUUUUUUGUUGUUACUGUUUACUUUUUAUUCUAUAACUUGUUCCUUUAUCUUAAUGAAAAAUGAGAGUUUGAGUCACUAUGAACAUUCUUAUUCCUAUAAAUUCAGCCACAGAAAAUAGUCAAAACUAACAGGAUUAUAGAUUAUAGUUUAACAAAAAUCCUGCUGAUGAAAAUGUAAUAAUAAACGUUUACAAUAAUAGUCAGAAAUUAGAAGUAUUUUAAAAACAUAUUAGAUUUUGAAUAUAAUGUUUAGAAGCAACAUUUAAGCACAAGAUUGGUGUGAAAGAGUAGGAUACAAACAAGUACAGGAAGCCUGAGAUUUGUAUCUCUUUGGAAAAAAAAGUAUUCUAAUUUGUUCAAAAUUGCAUCCUUUACAUUCCCUCUCACUUGGCAUCUUUCACUGGGAGACCACUUAUUGUGAAAGUUAGUUUACUCUCAUUUAUCUUGCUUGUAGUAUUGAAGUCCAAGAUGUUACUGAUGGUAUUUUAAAAAUUCCUAAAGUUGUAGUUGUCCUUUCAUCCAUUUUUUUCCCCCAAAAUGGAAAGCUAUUUUCUCAUUUUCUCUUAAUCAUUUUAAAAUAAAAUGUUUUAUUAAAAAAAAAAUUAAUAUAUUAAAAGAAAACUACUCCACCUAUUCUCUAGAAAACAUUUAAAUUUAGUAAUAUUUCUGUCCAAAUCCUUGCCCGAUUCAGCAUACUUUGUUCCAGUGGAGUGGAGAUGGAGAAAUAGAAAGUUUCUAAUGUACUUCCUUGAGUUGUUCAGGAUGCUGAGGUUUUUUGUUUGUUUGUUUGUUUGUUUUCUUCCAGAACGCUAUGAAUCAUGCAUAAUCAUUUAGCCUGUAGUUUAAAGUUUGUCUUGUAGUGUAUACUGUCAUAUGCUUCUCAAGCUUAUUGGAUCACCUGAAUUUUGUCAUUUCAGUUACUGUUGGAUCUCUCAAGAUGCAGAAUUUGAUUAAUUUCAAGUCAUUUUGGUUUGUGCAUAGUAUGAAAGUGGUUAGGACAAUAAAGGUGUAUAUAUAUGCUCCAGAGUGCACAGUGUAGUUGUCCCCUACCAUGAUUCCUGCAUGUUGCUGCAGGUAUCCAUUCAUGACUGCUUUCCUUCCACAGUGUGAUGCUGCAGUGCAGGACCAGAGGUUAAAAGGACAGCUUGUGGUAAUAUAAUCUGGUAAAAGACUAACUAAAAGACUUUUCUAAAGAAUGAUUUAGAAUUGCUUUUCUGAUUAUUUGGAGUGAUUUUACAGUAUUUGUCUUAUUCUUAGGCUUGUUGAUUUGAAGUGAGUCUUCCACAGAGUAAAAUAUCCUUUAAGUAUCUGUCUUUAUGUAUGACAGCAAAAGAAACCAAGAAAGAAAAAAAAAAUGGAAUGUCUAGAUAACUUUCAAAUAAUAUAAGGUGAGGCCAUUCAUAAGUUUGAACGUCAAGUUUAACAGUAUUUCUUUUAUGAUUUUUAGUUAAUAGGAAAGAAAACUCAGUCUCAAUCACACACUGAAGCGAUGAGCUUUUCUGAGUGGGAAGCUCUUCCCAUUGGCAUAGGUAAAUAAUAAAUGUUUUUUGAAUAAAAAAUUCAGAGAGAAUGGUUAAAGUCUCCAGAGAAUAGAGAAUGAUGUAAGCUUGAAUGUGUUCUAUAUAAAUUCUCCAGUGGAACAUACAAUAACCUGCAUUAUCUUUAAUAGCUUUAAGUGAAUUCAACUUGGGGUUUCUGGAAUACUUAUGUCAGCAGCAUAGACCAAAGCAACAGAUAAUGGAUCAAUACAAAAAUAGAAUAAGUAAUACUGAAUCAUUGUCAAACUUCUUACUGCCUUUAGAUCUCAUUUACUGUUUUUCUUUGGAACCUUGAUUGAGCAUCCACUGUAAUGGGGUGUGCAUCGGGGGGGAGGGGGGGCUAAAGAGUAGUGCAUAAGUGAAAGAAAAUGGGUUUCUUUGUUUCUUUUCCUUUUUCUUCCCUUCUCCUUCUAUUUUACUGUCAUUUCUUUAUUACUAUCGAAACGUUAGACAGUUUAAAGAAAGUUGAAAUGUUUUCAUGGAGUAUUCAUAGCAUAGCAACAACAUUUGUUUAGGGGUCUAAAAAUAUUUUUAAAAUGCAUACUUGGAAUUUUGUACUAAAAGUUGAAGAGCAAGAGAACAUAUGGUCAGGCAGUUUGUGAGUCUUCAGGCUGUUAACAGUGCUAAAAUUGCAUAUGGAAUUAAAUCGUCCACAGAAAAAAUCUCACUAAACAUUUAGAAUUUGCAAACAAUGAAUACUUGUAAGAGUCCUUGAUUCAGAGUAGAAUAAUAAAGCUGGAAACAGAUUGUUAAAUAAUUAUAAAAUUUUGAGGCCGACUUAUUUAUCAUGGUGAUGUAAAUCAAACAGUCAAUUUAGUUGCCCUCCCACUUUUUUGAAAAAUGGCAAAUCAUUAGGCGCUGACUAGUAGUUAUUCUACCACUACAGCUGAUGCAGUAGGAUUAUUUCAUAGCAUAUUUUCCACUUCCUUUCUGCUUUGAAUAUUUGAAGUGUCAGAGAAGGGAAAACAAAUGUACUGUGGCAGAGCUUAGGAAUUCUGGAUGCUGGCUCAGAUUCUGUGUGAUCUUGAACAAAUAAUCUAAAAUUCUUUGUCUGUGAAAUUGCACAAUCAUACAUUUCAGUGUAGAAUGAUGCUAUUUGCUGAUUUGGCUGCAUGGUAAUGAAGAAUUACACUGAUUUCUUUACAGAUGAAAGAUAUUUUACUAGAGUGCUGUGAUUCUGGAACAUUUCUUCAAGUUCAAAAACAUACUAAGAAAUUUAGGAGGGUUAUUUAAGUAGGAAAUAAGCUUUUAUUUAUAUCUUUUUCUGAUGAACUUCAUUUGACACUGUUAAUUUUAUUAUUAGUUUAUUAUUUUUAUUAAUUUUAUUGUUAUUAUUACCACCAUCAAAUCAGUUACUACUAUGAACAGUCAUCAAAUUUAGGAGAGAAUUACCUCGCUGAAUGAUUGCAUCAAUGGGCCAAUAUCACAUUUUGGAAUCAAUGCUUCUAUUUAACUUAAGGUCUGGUCAGUGCUAGAAAGUGUUGUGAUCUUUCAUUAUUCUGCAUUAGGAGUGUUAAUAUGCUUUGAUUUGUUUCUGGGGAAGAUGGCUGAUAAAAGUAACUUUCAUUUAAACAGGUUAGUAAAUAUAUGAGAAAAUUCACUUUCAUUCUAAGGCCUGAAAUGGUUGUAGGCUGUGGUUUCCUUUUGGGGCGAUCUAGAACAAGAAGUGAAAUGGCGAAUUUGGGCAUUGCUAAUGAAUAUUAAUACAGCUAGGAAACAGGAGGAAAGUGGUUUGUACUUAUGGCAACCAGAAGAUAUAAACAACUAUAAUGUUGCUCUGUAGUAACAAAUGGCAGUGUGUUAAAACAUCUACAGAUAUUUUGAAAUAGUAAAGACUACCUAAAAACUGUUCAUCUUGUUCUUCAAUUAUGCAUUUAUUUCAAUAUCUCUGCUUAGACCAGUGGUUUCCUUUUGCUAACCCCACAAGAAGAUGCGAAGCCACACAAGCAGAAACUUUCAAUUCAUAAUGUCAUUCUUUUGCCUUUCUUCUUUCCUCCUUUUCAUGAUCUGUUCUCCCUUUUAAGUCAUUGCAUCAUCACUCCUAUCAGAUAGCUUAUUCCUUGCAACAACUCCUGAAAUGCAUGACUUUCAGCAGUUUUUUUUACAAAAGUAAACUUCUAUUUUUAAACUUUUUUUUCUUCCCCUUUUUCUUUCUUGUCAUUUUACUAUAGUGUGAAAUAGAGUAGAAAGAUGAAUAGCCAUUUAUAGGCACUCAUCAGAUAUGGCAAUUUAACUACUGUCUGAACAUCAGGAACAGUGGUAUUAAGGAAAAAACAAACAAACAACAACAACAGCAAAAGAAGAACAACAGCAAAAGCUGCACGCACACACACACACACACACACAAAACCCUAAGGAACAAACAACCCAAAACCCACAUGGUUCACUUUACUCUGGAGAGAUUUCUAAACAAGUUCUUUGCAAAGCAGUGGUCAUAACUUGAAGGAACACUUUGAUUAGACCAAAGUAGAGUACCCAUUAGGAAUUCCAUCUUAUCUUCUGUUUUUAUGAAUGAUUAUACAGUGCAACUGUGAUGUGACACAACUUUUUUCCUCUUAUCAAAGAGAAUCUAGGGGAACCAAGUCAGGCACUUCCUUUUCUUUUGUAGUAUAUUUUAAACUUGUCAAUUUUUUUUUGUUUUUAAAUUAUUAAGGGAUAUAUUUGAUUACAUUUAGUGAACUAAAUAAUCAACUUGAGAAACAGCAAAACAAACACUACAUGGAGCAUACACCAGGCAUAUGUGUACUAUAGGAAAGUCCCUCUAGUUUUUAGUAAUAGAAUAUGGAAAGACAGGUUAGAACCUAGCUGGAAAAAAUACAACUUGAAAGAAAAAUAUAAGAAUACUUCAGAAAUCAAACAGUCUUUUCCAUGUAUGAUGAUCUGAUUGACAGUUAAUAUUAGACCAAUGAAGGCACGAAAAUCAUAACCACAGUUUCACUGCUAUAUUGAUCUUGAAGGUCUUUUCCAAACUUACCAAUGCUGUGAUUCUAUGAUUCACAAUGACUCCACUGCACAGAAAAGUAAUCAAGGUGCAUAUGCAGUACUGUAAAAAAGUGUUAAAAUAAGAUAACGGAUGCUCAAUUAGUACAUGUACUCAAAAUUUAUGGAAAAGGAAAGAACAAGUUUUGAGAGGAGGUACUCAAAAUUCUUUCUCCCAUUUGUUGUCAUGAUCAUUUUACAUGAAAUAUUGCAUUGGAAUAUAUGCUGCAGAUUUUAUAAAUCUGGGAAUAUUUUUGAUGUUACAGAUUAGUAGCGUGGCCUUUGACAGGAUAUGGAGAUUAUUGAGAAACUGAUCUCUUUCUCUAUCUGCUGUGCAUAACUAGAGAGCUACAGAACAUCAAAGCUAUCUGUAAUCGCAACUCCACCUGGAAGCUGGAUCUGUUGAAAGAAAGAGAAAGAACAAUAUGGUGAAGCACUGAGAAGAAAUGAAGACAUUCAACCUGUAAAUAGCAGAGUCCUUUCUUUCUCAUUUGUCAGGAAGGGAAUAAUCAGCAUAAAUUACACUCCUGGACUUAGUAUUUAUUUCCUUUUUAUUUUUAUAUAAUUCACAUGCAAUGUGCAAUACAGAAAAGGAGGAAAUUAAAACAUGAGCACAUAUUGUAGCUUAAAUGUCUCCAGAAUAAACUUAGGUUUUGUUAACAAAAAACACCUUGGAAACAAAAUCAUCAUGUGAUACAUAAAUAAAUAGAGAAUUUGGGGAUUCAUUUAAAAAAAAAAAAUUUAAAAUUUUUAAAUUCUGCAGGACUAUUCUGAAAUGAACAGUUAAUGGAGAUGCAGCUAAUGACUCCUGUCAUCACCUCACUUGGAGCACAUGCUACAUAAAAUAUAUUGUGCUAACAAAACUAUGAUAAUUGUCAAAGAAAAAUUAUCAUCUUUUUCAGAAGAAGAUAAUAGUAUGAGGAACCAGUUAACAAAAUGCAUUCCAUUUUCAAAUACUGGAGACAGGAUGUGGCCUAGAAGACAAAUAGUAUCUUAAAGAAAUAACAGUGUUUUGCAAAUAAGACUGAUUUUUGAAGAACCUUGAAUACAGUGUCAAAUGAAAACAACAUAAUACAAUACUUUUAAUCUUUGCCAGCAUGGUAAAUUAUGAACCCCGCUGUCAUUGUUCCAAAGAUAAGGGGGAUACAUCAAAAAGAGUUUUACACUGAAUGGUAAGCAUGGUUUAACUUAAAACUUUAUGGCUUUCUGCAGCCUGUACACUGAACUUGUGGAAUAGAUCCAUUCACAUUACUAAAGGUAAACAGAAUGUACUUAAUUCUGGAACUGACAGGGAGUUGAAGCAUGCUGGGUAGUUUCUGGACUGGCCACUCACGGUUGGAUUAGGUGAGAGUUUGUAAUCAGAGUGUACCAGCAAAGUAUAAACAUUGCAGAGGUAGCAUCUGCCUCUAUUUUAGUGUUGACUCAUAUUCUCUUAAUGUUAAGCUUCAAUUCCAAUUGCUUACCUUAGCUGUGUAUUAGAUUUAUCUGGAAAUCAAGAGAAAAUAAAUGGCCAAUAGUUCAAACAAGAUGGCCAGAAAAAGAACCCAAAUCAUUAUUUCAUCAAAGGAACACAUUUUCGUGUAUCUGGAAUGGGGCCCAGUUGAAAGCAAACAGCAGCUGGGUAAUUCUGCCACAAAUAACUCACUAGCACCUGGGAUCUACCAAACAUUUGUAAAACUGAUAGUAAGAAGAGACAGUUAAAAGAGAAAGGUGAGCAGAAAAGAUAUGCUGGAACGGACACUGAAAUAAUUUGUGAGGAUAUUCCAACUUAAUACAAAUGACAGUGAAAGCAAUUUCUGAUUAGCUAAAUGAUCCAUGCUCUUUUUUCUGGGUUGUAGCUUCUAGACAUCUGCGUGGUGGAACUAAAUGCAUGGAUAGUUCUGCUAGUGGCCAGCAGUAGUAGAAGGCAAGUCACAGGUCAAAAACUUACACCUGAUUUCCAAAUGAAAGUCAAGAGCCAAAUUCAGGAAAGGAAAAGACAUGGCAGUUAUUCAGUUAUUAGGAACACAAGCCAGGAAUAAAGAGCUGGGCAGAGGAAAUAAACAAGAGAAAAAAUCAAAGUUAAAUGAUGUGAAAAAGAGACAAGCAUAGAAGUACCAAAAAAAAUAAAAAUAAAAAAAAUGGAAAGAAAAAAUGAGAAAACAGAAAAAAAAAAAAAAAGGGAAAGGAGAAGAAAAAGGAGAAACAAUAGAAGAGGAAAAAAAAAAAAGGAAAAGAGAAAAUGGAAAGAGAAAAAAAAGAAAAAUGUAAAUAUGAAAAAAAGGAAAGAAAAUCUUCAG
RNAcentral lists this long non-coding RNA (11628 nucleotides) under Gallus gallus (chicken). Its description in RNAcentral is "lncRNA (ENSGALG00010014647.1)". The record is from RNAcentral. Lineage: Eukaryota; Metazoa; Chordata; Aves; Galliformes; Phasianidae.